Corvus hawaiiensis (hawaiian crow) is the source of this 3445-nucleotide long non-coding RNA. RefSeq lists it as uncharacterized. Lineage: Eukaryota; Metazoa; Chordata; Aves; Passeriformes; Corvidae. The transcript is spliced from 2 exons. The record is from RefSeq and is a predicted model, not a curated record.
UGGAAAAGCUGGCAAAGAAAUAAGAAAUACAAUGUCUAGAGAAGACCAGUAUUCAUUCUGUAAGGAUCAAUUUUCUUUAAGGAGACUGGCAUUUAGUGAAGCUGCCAUUCUGAAACACCUGUCUUCAGUUCAGCAGGGUCCUGACCUGAGCCUGCUGGAUGAUGUGUGGCAUCAGGGAGGCAACUUUCAGGCUCACAUUUGUCACAAUUAACACUAAAAAUUACUCAUCUGCAGUGCUUUGGUUUCUGUGCUUACUUGCAUAAGUCCUGCACUCACAGCUUUCUUCUAAUUCCAGAGAAGCUACUUACCAUCUAUAUGGUGAUCCUAGAGGAAAAGAGAAUGAGGCCAUCUGUCUAUCCUAUAAAAACAUCGUCAUCCUGGAGCCAGUGGCACCUGUUAUGGCAGAAAUUGUCAUUACUGUACUAGAAGCUGACUUUUAAACAAUGAAGAUUCUUCUCAAAGGUGUAUCAGAGCCUGGAGCAUUGAUGAGACACAUCACUGAUGAUAGUUUGUACUAAAAGUACAGCAGCAAGGAAGUUGAAAUUCCACAAGCUUAAGCACUUGGAUGCUAUUCAUUAUUAUAUGAACAGAGUUCCUCACAGUCUGGAUGUCUUGGGGAUCUCAGAUAUUUACAGACUCAUUCAUCUCUCUGCAGGCAAUUGACCGAAAUUCACCCAGGUCUUUAUUAGUUGAUGCUUGCAAGUGACUCUUGUCCUGGCAGCAUAACUCCCCAGGAACAUUUGGAUGCAUCACAGAAAUUACCAAGAACUGCAUCCUUGCCUGUAAUCCCAAUUAUAGGACUAAGUAGUAAGUGGAUGUGUAGCCUGGAUUAUCCCUUUCCUUUUGGAGGCGGUUCUUGGAGUUAAGGAACAGCUUGGAGGAAGAGGGCUUGAACUCUGUUGAAUCUACAUUUGUUCCUGCCACUUAUUUGCUUGCAAUAAGCACUGCAUUAUUUUUCACAGCACAAGAGUUGAAAUCCUACUCUUGCACUGAAAAUGUAAAUACCAAAGAAAAAUAAAAAGCAGCAGUGGAGAUGGUCUUAAAAGGAUGGAUCUUCAUAAACACUAGUAUUGCUUUAUAUGCCCUUGGUAAGCCAGUUGCUUGUUUCACUGGACUACAGAAAUGUAUGAAGAAUUACUAAAUUAUGCACAACAUCCAUGAAAAUAGGAAUUUUUAUGAAUGUCAUGUAUUAAUCCCUCUGAUCUAGUAGCGCUGUUGCAGCAUAUAAUUAGCAGCUCUAUCAGCAGGAGUCAACAUUUAUCGAAUUACCAUUACAUUAAAACUGGCUUUACGUGCGCAUCUUGUGUAAUCACAGAAGCCAAGUUCUUGCAUAUUGUCAAACAACAAAUCCAGCCUUCCUGUAGAGUGAUCCAACUGACUUCUUUAUGUGCUCCAAGAGUUAAGGGUGACAUGGAGAACCUGGUUAAGGUUAUAUAAGCAUCUGGCCCCAAGCACUCUGCAGUGCUCUCAGUUGCCUAGAUAAGGUGGAAGAGAGUGAAAGCACAUGGAUGUGAUACUGAUGUAAAGCCCUUAGCCCAAAUUAUUAUGGGUCUCCUCACAAGAGCUAUGAGAGAAAAAUAUAAGGGUAAGGAGACUAGAAUGAGAAAAUAGGCAUGUGUCAGUGGAGAGGUAAGUCAUCUGUAGUUCUUAGAGUUUAUUCAGGUACAUAAAAUAUUUUAAUUUCAAGCAAGGACUAGACAGAUUGUUGAUAAAGACUGGUUGUAAUUAUGACUUCCUGCGAAUUAGGACUUUUAAAUUGAAGCUUCUAACUGUGCUACUUGCAGAGCCGUUUGGUCUGUAUCCAAACGUACUGCUGCUGCAGCAAGACAUGGCCUUUCACUGCAGUGAGUGGUCUGAUAGCUUCCCUAAGUUUAAUGUUGCAACAAAAAUUCACUGCUUUUUAGUCUCAUUUGUUACUUGUGAUUAUUAAUGAAGCCUAUAUUAGUAAGGCUGUCUAUACUUAGCAGUCCUCAUAGAACGACAUUAUAAACCUUUCCCUUGUAGAGAUAUGUGACUUCGACAUUAUUUUAAUUAGCAUUUUAAGUACUCUGAUGUUUCCUGCUGAAUGAAUUUGGACGCUUUUCAUACGGUUUGAUACCAUACCCAUGCAGUGCCAAAUUCUGCUCUCGUGUGUCUAACUGCAAGCUCACUGGUGCAAACUGCAUCUUGUUGAAAUGAGACAUUUAAUGAAGUGAAGCAUGUAUUCACCUUGAUUUCCUUACCAGCCGAUGGAGAAAUUUCAGUGGACUAAUAAGACAACGGGAAGAUGCCUAUGUCCCUUAUUGAUGAUUGAGCAUGUCCAGACACUGAAACAGAUUAGCCUCUCCACAGCAUCUUCUCUGCCCUGCCAUACCUGUGAACCUCAACAAUAAAGAUGGCAAAGCUCGCAUUUGGAGGUGUCAAGCUUUUUGACCUCAUGGAGUUUGGAUCAGGCCUGGAGGAUCACAGGGCACAAAAUGAUCUUAACAGAACACUGAGGCAUUCUCGAGUUUAGUGAUAUCACGUCCAUGACAAAAUGAACCAUGACGAUUGUGGGUGCCUCACUGAUCAGUCUUUGUCACAGACAGGUAAAUACUGUGAUUUUCUUGGCAAACUCAAGGUCUUAUCAAUUUCCUCUCAUGACCAGGUGACCUGUAGCCAACACCCACAACAGUGUCACCCAUGUUAGCCUGCCCCUUAAUUCUUACCCAUAAACUCUUGACUCAUUCUUCAUCCACCCCUAGGCAGUGCUCCAUUCCACACAUUCCAAUUGCUCUCUCACAUAAGGAGUAGCUCCACUAUUUUGUCUUGCUGUCCUGUCUUACCUAAAAAGUCCGUAGACAUCUGUGACAGCGCUCCCAUCCCAUGAACUAUGCCACCAUGUCCCUGUAAUUGCAAUGAGGUCAUGGCGCUGUGACCGCACACAGAUCUCUAAUUAUUCCUGUUUAUUCCCUGUGCUGCAUGUGUUGGAGUACAGGCAUUGCAGAGAGGUAAUCAAACAUCCAGACUUCCCAGGAGGGAUGCAAGAGGAUCCACCACAACUAUAUACACCCUUGAGGUGGUUUACCUUCUGGUUCUCAUCUAGGAAGGUAGCUAAGGAAUAUUUGUUGCUGCUCUGGUUGGCCUGGUUUACUCCCCAAAAAGCCACUUUGGAUUAUUCCCCAAAAAUUCCUCAAAGCCAUUUUGGUAAUGUUGUGCUUCUGUCAGACCACUCAAGCUAAUAUAUCCCUAUUCAAAGGGAUGUCUCCAAUAUAAUGUGCUGGGCAUUGUAUGUAAGGGGCUGGAAAACCUGUCUGUGCUGUCACCUUCAAUUCAAUGAUACUAUAGCUGCAAGUGCUCUAUACAUGUAGCCUAUAGCUUUCAUGAAUCCGACUAGAUGGAUAUGUGAAAAUACUUGUACUUUAUUCACCAGUGGUAUCUGGAACUUGUUGAAAUUUUUAUUUUCAUUAAACAUGCAAGAACACUA